GUGGGGUCCGCUGAAGCCGGAAGUUCCCGCCCUUGCCGGGCAGGUCCCGCCCUCAGCGGGGCGGGUUGCGGGCAGUGAUUGCGGUCGUAGCAGGGUCCUCGUCGGGACUGCGAGCAACUUUGCGCGCUGAGGUGGCGGGUGGUCGUGAUCUUCCGGGGUUCCCACGGGUAUGGCCAGGAGGGCAGCUCUGGUGUCGGUGGUAAGGUGUGGCCAAGAGCGACGGUGGAUUCCUCCGAGGGCCGGGGAUAAACUGCCGUAGGGGGCGCGGGCUGCAGUGCGGUGCUCGAAGAGGCUGGGCCCUACCCUGCCUAUCUGGAUUCGACUCUAGCGUCUUGUGUUCGUGCUUCCGUCUGUACCUGUGCAUUUGCUGGAGAUGAGCCACCAAGCCACCCGAGUGCAUGGAGGCAUGAAACUCAGGCUGGUCUGUGCAGGCUGAAGGCAGCAUGGAAAGAUCCCCUGGAAGCUUCAACAUUCAGGCAUCGUGUGAUUUACUUCAAAAAUUAAAAUGGCAUGAAAUGUU
Molecule: long non-coding RNA, 520 nt
Organism: Pogoniulus pusillus (Red-fronted tinkerbird)
Lineage: Eukaryota; Metazoa; Chordata; Aves; Piciformes; Lybiidae
Exons: 2
Source: RefSeq, a predicted model, not a curated record